GUCCUGACUUUAGCAGUGCAUAUAAUCAAAUUGGAAAGAUACAGAGAAGAUCAGUAUAGCUCCUGUGCAAAAUACUGUGGUUUCCUAGGCAGGUCUUACUUAA
Small nuclear RNA from Octodon degus (degu), 103 nucleotides. NCBI's taxonomy places the organism in Eukaryota, Metazoa, Chordata, Mammalia, Rodentia, Octodontidae. The record is from RefSeq and is a predicted model, not a curated record.